GUCAAUAUGAAUGAAUACAAACUGUGUAGUUAUUCCCUCCAUAAGGCAAUCAAACAGGCAAAAUGUCAGUACAGAGACAAAGUGGAGUCGCAAUUCAACGGCUCAGACAAGAGACGUAUGUGGCAGGGUAUACAAACAAUCAUGGACCACAAAGGGAAAACCAGUCAUGUCGCGGGCACCGACGUUUUGCUUCCGGAAGAAGCUAAACACCUUUUCUGCCCACUGAGGAUAACACAGUGGUAACGAUUUGGCCAGCUACCAUUAAUCAGUAGAACACACCUGACACUAAUUCACCAGUCAUACAGUCAUCAAAAAGAGUGCUGGCCCAAGCAAGAAAUGGCAGCAGUGCAAUCAUCUAUAUGAACAUUUCUUCACCAAAUACGGAGUUGGGAAAACACAUGUGGACCUGAAUUGUUAUAACUGCAGUGGCCAAAGCAAAAACAAGUUUGUGCUCUGGUAUUGUACCUGGUGGACCAUGCACAAGCUCAACCAAAAUCUGGAUCUUCACUUCCUGAUCACAGGCCACACCAAGUUUGCCCCUGACUUGUGCUUCGGCCUCAUCAAGCAGAGGUUCAGAAAGACCAGAGUGAACACUUUGUCUGAGAUUGGUGGUGGGAAAUAACACAAGUAUAGACCAAAAUGGACCUUUCUCCAAGGAAAUGACCCAGGACUUUUAUUCAGGAAAGUAACAACUGAAAUCGCCACGCUAGGUAACAAUAAAACCAAAACCUAGCUUGUCUUUGAACCUUUCUAUACGGGUCUUCCAGUCCCUCUCUGCUACCGACGUAGGCCCCUGGAUCUGCCUAUUUAUACAGGGGUUGUGACCGAUGUUCUUAGGGAUCUGCAGUACUGCUGAUCCUGACAACUACCUUAGCAGUCGUCUCCCCUGUGAUGGACACAGAUCAAUGUUUGUUACAGCAGGGCUGUGUUAUACUGUGAUGCUAUCACUAGUGGUGUUGUUGUACUGAUUUAUUCUGGUGGACUGGUGGCAGGAAUAUAACCUCUCCCUCAACAAAACAAACAAGCUGUGCAAACUAAACGGAAACAACACAGGAUGUCUUAUAAAAGGGGUUGCAGUCGGCCGUGAAGCUUUCAUCCAUGUAUACAGGUAGGCAUCUAGCUACAGAUAUUAUACGUUUCUAAUUUGGUCAGAAAGUUGUUUACAUUGCAAGUUAAACUGUUAGCUAGCCAGUUGGAGUUUGAUGGCUGGCUUGUUAACUAUCAAUGAACCUAACUUUAGCUUGUUAUGACAAUUGGUUUGUAUUGCUAGUAAAGUUACUCUGUGGAUUGGGAUUAUAGUUCAUUUUUUUAGCUAGCUAGCUAAUGUUAAUGUGACAUGUCUGAACAAAAGAUUCCAAG
Oncorhynchus tshawytscha (Chinook salmon) is the source of this 1359-nucleotide long non-coding RNA. Lineage: Eukaryota; Metazoa; Chordata; Actinopteri; Salmoniformes; Salmonidae. The record is from Ensembl.